This 838-nucleotide ribosomal RNA is filed under the name uncultured marine bacterium. RNAcentral's name for it is "bacterial SSU rRNA". It matches the Rfam family "Bacterial small subunit ribosomal RNA", at positions 20 to 905 of the family's 1533-position model. The record is from RNAcentral.
UGGCUCAGAACGAACGCUGGCGGCAGGCGUAACACAUGCAAGUCGAACGCCCUCUUCGGAGGGAGUGGCAGACGGGUGAGUAACGCGUGGGAAUCUACCCAGUUCUAAGGAAUAACUUCGGGAAACCGGAGCUAAUACCUUAUACGCCCUUCGGGGGAAAGAUUUAUCGGAAUUGGAUGAGCCCGCGUUAGAUUAGCUUGUUGGUGAGGUAAAAGCUCACCAAGGCGACGAUCUAUAGCUGGUCUGAGAGGAUGAUCAGCCACACUGGAACUGAGACACGGUCCAGACUCCUACGGGAGGCAGCAGUGGGGAAUAUUGCACAAUGGGCGCAAGCCUGAUGCAGCCAUGCCGCGUGAGUGAUGAAGGCCCUAGGGUUGUAAAACUCUUUCAUCGGUGAAGAUAAUGACGGUAGCCGAAGAAGAAGUCCCGGCUAACUCCGUGCCAGCAGCCGCGGUAAUACGGAGGGGACUAGCGUUGUUCGGAAUUACUGGGCGUAAAGCGCGCGUAGGCGGGCUGGUCAGUUGGGGGUGAAAUCCCGAGGCUUAACCUCGGAACUGCCUUCAAUACUGCCAGUCUUGAGUUCGGAAGAGGUGAGUGGAAUUCCUAGUGUAGAGGUGAAAUUCAUAGAUAUUAGGAAGAACACCAGUGGCGAAGGCGGCUCACUGGUCCGAUACUGACGCCGAGGUGCGAAAGCGUGGGGAGCGAACAGGAUUAGAUACCCUGGUAGUCCACGCCGUAAACGAUGGAUGCUAGCCGUCGGGUAGUAUACUACUCGGUGGCGCAGUUAACGCAUUAAGCAUCCCGCCUGGGGAGUACGGUCGCAAGAUUAAAACUCAAA